GACGAACGCUGGCGGCGCGCCUAACACAUGCAAGUCGAACGGAGUUGAGAGGAGCUUGCUUUUCUCAACUUAGUGGCGAACGGGUGAGUAACGCGUGAGUAACCUGCCCUGGAGUGGGGGACAACAGUUGGAAACGACUGCUAAUACCGCAUAAGCCCACGGUACCGCAUGGUACUGAGGGAAAAGGAUUUAUUCGCUUCAGGAUGGACUCGCGUCCAAUUAGCUAGUUGGUGAGGUAACGGCCCACCAAGGCGACGAUUGGUAGCCGGACUGAGAGGUUGAACGGCCACAUUGGGACUGAGACACGGCCCAGACUCCUACGGGAGGCAGCAGUGGGGGAUAUUGCACAAUGGGGGAAACCCUGAUGCAGCGACGCCGCGUGGAGGAAGAAGGUUUUCGGAUUGUAAACUCCUGUCGUUAGGGACGAUAAUGACGGUACCUAACAAGAAAGCACCGGCUAACUACGUGCCAGCAGCCGCGGUAA
RNAcentral lists this ribosomal RNA (484 nucleotides) under uncultured bacterium. Its description in RNAcentral is "partial 16S ribosomal RNA". It matches the Rfam family "Bacterial small subunit ribosomal RNA", at positions 28 to 523 of the family's 1533-position model. The record is from RNAcentral.